Molecule: ribosomal RNA, 2929 nt
Filed under: Escherichia coli
Lineage: Bacteria; Pseudomonadati; Pseudomonadota; Gammaproteobacteria; Enterobacterales; Enterobacteriaceae
Description: 23S ribosomal RNA
Rfam family: Bacterial large subunit ribosomal RNA
Source: RNAcentral
GGGUUGUGAGGUUAAGCGACUAAGCGUACACGGUGGAUGCCCUGGCAGUCAGAGGCGAUGAAGGACGUGCUAAUCUGCGAUAAGCGUCGGUAAGGUGAUAUGAACCGUUAUAACCGGCGAUUUCCGAAUGGGGAAACCCAGUGUGUUUCGACACACUAUCAUUAACUGAAUCCAUAGGUUAAUGAGGCGAACCGGGGGAACUGAAACAUCUAAGUACCCCGAGGAAAAGAAAUCAACCGAGAUUCCCCCAGUAGCGGCGAGCGAACGGGGAGCAGCCCAGAGCCUGAAUCAGUGUGUGUGUUAGUGGAAGCGUCUGGAAAGGCGCGCGAUACAGGGUGACAGCCCCGUACACAAAAAUGCACAUGCUGUGAGCUCGAUGAGUAGGGCGGGACACGUGGUAUCCUGUCUGAAUAUGGGGGGACCAUCCUCCAAGGCUAAAUACUCCUGACUGACCGAUAGUGAACCAGUACCGUGAGGGAAAGGCGAAAAGAACCCCGGCGAGGGGAGUGAAAAAGAACCUGAAACCGUGUACGUACAAGCAGUGGGAGCACGCUUAGGCGUGUGACUGCGUACCUUUUGUAUAAUGGGUCAGCGACUUAUAUUCUGUAGCAAGGUUAACCGAAUAGGGGAGCCGAAGGGAAACCGAGUCUUAACUGGGCGUUAAGUUGCAGGGUAUAGACCCGAAACCCGGUGAUCUAGCCAUGGGCAGGUUGAAGGUUGGGUAACACUAACUGGAGGACCGAACCGACUAAUGUUGAAAAAUUAGCGGAUGACUUGUGGCUGGGGGUGAAAGGCCAAUCAAACCGGGAGAUAGCUGGUUCUCCCCGAAAGCUAUUUAGGUAGCGCCUCGUGAAUUCAUCUCCGGGGGUAGAGCACUGUUUCGGCAAGGGGGUCAUCCCGACUUACCAACCCGAUGCAAACUGCGAAUACCGGAGAAUGUUAUCACGGGAGACACACGGCGGGUGCUAACGUCCGUCGUGAAGAGGGAAACAACCCAGACCGCCAGCUAAGGUCCCAAAGUCAUGGUUAAGUGGGAAACGAUGUGGGAAGGCCCAGACAGCCAGGAUGUUGGCUUAGAAGCAGCCAUCAUUUAAAGAAAGCGUAAUAGCUCACUGGUCGAGUCGGCCUGCGCGGAAGAUGUAACGGGGCUAAACCAUGCACCGAAGCUGCGGCAGCGACGCUUAUGCGUUGUUGGGUAGGGGAGCGUUCUGUAAGCCUGUGAAGGUGUACUGUGAGGUAUGCUGGAGGUAUCAGAAGUGCGAAUGCUGACAUAAGUAACGAUAAAGCGGGUGAAAAGCCCGCUCGCCGGAAGACCAAGGGUUCCUGUCCAACGUUAAUCGGGGCAGGGUGAGUCGACCCCUAAGGCGAGGCCGAAAGGCGUAGUCGAUGGGAAACAGGUUAAUAUUCCUGUACUUGGUGUUACUGCGAAGGGGGGACGGAGAAGGCUAUGUUGGCCGGGCGACGGUUGUCCCGGUUUAAGCGUGUAGGCUGGUUUUCCAGGCAAAUCCGGAAAAUCAAGGCUGAGGCGUGAUGACGAGGCACUACGGUGCUGAAGCAACAAAUGCCCUGCUUCCGGGAAAAGCCUCUAAGCAUCAGGUAACAUCAAAUCGUACCCCAAACCGACACAGGUGGUCAGGUAGAGAAUACCAAGGCGCUUGAGAGAACUCGGGUGAAGGAACUAGGCAAAAUGGUGCCGUAACUUCGGGAGAAGGCACGCUGAUAUGUAGGUGAAGUCCCUCGCGGAUGGAGCUGAAAUCAGUCGAAGAUACCAGCUGGCUGCAACUGUUUAUUAAAAACACAGCACUGUGCAAACACGAAAGUGGACGUAUACGGUGUGACGCCUGCCCGGUGCCGGAAGGUUAAUUGAUGGGGUCAGCGCAAGCGAAGCUCUUGAUCGAAGCCCCGGUAAACGGCGGCCGUAACUAUAACGGUCCUAAGGUAGCGAAAUUCCUUGUCGGGUAAGUUCCGACCUGCACGAAUGGCGUAAUGAUGGCGGGCUGUCUCCACCCGAGACUCAGUGAAAUUGAACUCGCUGUGAAGAUGCAGUGUACCCGCGGCAAGACGGAAAGACCCCGUGAACCUUUACUAUAGCUUGACACUGAACAUUGAGCCUUGAUGUGUAGGAUAGGUGGGAGGCUUUGAAGUGUGGACGCCAGUCUGCAUGGAGCCGACCUUGAAAUACCACCCUUUAAUGUUUGAUGUUCUAACGUUGACCCGUGAUCCGGGUUGCGGACAGUGUCUGGUGGGUAGUUUGACUGGGGCGGUCUCCUCCUAAAGAGUAACGGAGGAGCACGAAGGUUGGCUAAUCCUGGUCGGACAUCAGGAGGUUAGUGCAAUGGCAUAAGCCAGCUUGACUGCGAGCGUGACGGCGCGAGCAGGUGCGAAAGCAGGUCAUAGUGAUCCGGUGGUUCUGAAUGGAAGGGCCAUCGCUCAACGGAUAAAAGGUACUCCGGGGAUAACAGGCUGAUACCGCCCAAGAGUUCAUAUCGACGGCGGUGUUUGGCACCUCGAUGUCGGCUCAUCACAUCCUGGGGCUGAAGUAGGUCCCAAGGGUAUGGCUGUUCGCCAUUUAAAGUGGUACGCGAGCUGGGUUUAGAACGUCGUGAGACAGUUCGGUCCCUAUCUGCCGUGGGCGCUGGAGAACUGAGGGGGGCUGCUCCUAGUACGAGAGGACCGGAGUGGACGCAUCACUGGUGUUCGGGUUGUCAUGCCAAUGGCACUGCCCGGUAGCUAAAUGCGGAAGAGAUAAGUGCUGAAAGCAUCUAAGCACGAAACUUGCCCCGAGAUGAGUUCUCCCUGACUCCUUGAGAGUCCUGAAGGAACGUUGAAGACGACGACGUUGAUAGGCCGGGUGUGUAAGCGCAGCGAUGCGUUGAGCUAACCGGUACUAAUGAACCGUGAGGCUUAACCUUACAACGCCGAAGCUGUU